RNAcentral lists this ribosomal RNA (254 nucleotides) under uncultured bacterium. Its description in RNAcentral is "partial 16S ribosomal RNA". It matches the Rfam family "Bacterial small subunit ribosomal RNA", at positions 524 to 776 of the family's 1533-position model. The record is from RNAcentral.
UACGAAGGGGGCUAGCGUUGUUCGGAAUCACUGGGCGUAAAGCGCACGCAGGCGGAUCGUUAAGUCAGGGGUGAAAUCCCGAGGCUCAACCUCGGAACUGCCUUUGAUACUGGCGAUCUUUGAGUCCGGGAGAGGUGAGUGGAACUCCGAGUGUAGAGGUGAAAUUCGUAGAUAUUCGCAAGAACACCAGUGGCGAAGGCGGCUCACUGGCCCGGUACUGACGCUGAGGUGCGAAAGCGUGGGGAGCAAACAGG